CCUAUUCUAUUCUAACAGAGGGUGUAGUAGGGAGAAAAGAGCUGCUGCAGUUCUCGUGAAGAACUUUAAUAAAGAACAAUGUUAUUCCAUUUUUAUUUCAGGAUCAUUUCAGAGAAAAACCUUAGAAAACAUUACACGCAGAGUUGGAGUUCCAUGCCAAAGUCAGAUGGCAGCACUCCUAGAUGCACAAACUACCACUUGUUUCCUCCAUUCGUCUCUUGACCUUCCAUGCAUGCUUCUUCUCUUACACUUCUAGCUCCAAAGAUGAGACUGGGACGCUGUCAGACAGCCCGGUACCAGCCUUG
RNAcentral lists this long non-coding RNA (305 nucleotides) under Phoenix dactylifera (date palm). RNAcentral's name for it is "long non-coding RNA (PDAC_LNC004659)". Lineage: Eukaryota; Viridiplantae; Streptophyta; Magnoliopsida; Arecales; Arecaceae. The record is from RNAcentral.